RNAcentral lists this small nuclear RNA (332 nucleotides) under Jaculus jaculus (lesser Egyptian jerboa). Its description in RNAcentral is "7SK RNA (ENSJJAG00000008244.1)". It matches the Rfam family "7SK RNA". Rfam says of the family: 7SK was discovered as an abundant small nuclear RNA in the mid-70s but a possible function has only recently been suggested. Lineage: Eukaryota; Metazoa; Chordata; Mammalia; Rodentia; Dipodidae. The record is from RNAcentral.
GGAUGUGAGGGCGAUCUGGCCACAAUAUCUGUCACCCCAUUGAUCGCCAGGGUUAACGGAGCUGAUCUGGCUGGCUGGGCGGGUGUCCCCUUCCUCCCUCGCCGCUCCAUGUGCAUCCCUCCCAAAGCUGCAUCAUUUGAAGAGUACAACCUUCCCCGAAUAGAGGAGAGCCAGGCUUCGGUCAAGGGUAUACUAGUGACUGUGCUCCCCUACUAGAACCUCCAAACAAGCUCUCAAAAGACUGCAGUCCUUCUGUUUUCCAAUGCAGGUCAUCUGGUCCAGUCACAAUGGUUAUAAUCUCUCAUACAAUUACAGCUGAAUGGGCAGAAGUU